GGAAUCUUCCACAAUGGACGCAAGUCUGAUGGAGCAACGCCGCGUGAGUGAAGAAGGGUUUCGGCUCGUAAAGCUCUGUUGUUAAAGAAGAACGUGGGUAAGAGUAACUGUUUACCCAGUGACGGUAUUUAACCAGUAAGCCACGGCUAACUACGUGCCAG
This 161-nucleotide ribosomal RNA is filed under the name uncultured bacterium. Its description in RNAcentral is "partial 16S rRNA". It matches the Rfam family "Bacterial small subunit ribosomal RNA", at positions 358 to 511 of the family's 1533-position model. The record is from RNAcentral.